Molecule: non-coding RNA, 559 nt
Organism: Leptonychotes weddellii (Weddell seal)
Lineage: Eukaryota; Metazoa; Chordata; Mammalia; Carnivora; Phocidae
Source: RefSeq, a predicted model, not a curated record
CCCGGUUCUUCUCUUGUCUACGUGGAGCCACCGAGGGACAAUUCGAGCAGAAACAUGGUUGCUCUGUCUGGGACUCUGGGAAGCAGAGUCCGAUCCCCUACCCUGGCCUUGCGGCUCAGGUCUAGAAAUCAUAGUGCUCUCCCAAACUUCAAGAGGUCCUGCAGCGGCCCCCUGGGCUCCAUCCCAGGCCUUGGUUUUCAGAGGCAGCUGGUGCAGUGGAAAGAGAAGCAGCAGGGGGAUCGGCUGGACCACUCACUAGCGUGUGGACAACACCUCCCUACCUCCAUCUGUGAAAUGGGCAUGAAGACCCCCACCCCCACAGUAUUGCUGCAGGAAUCGGCAAAACCCCGCAGCCCCGUGCUGGCGCCUAGCCAGCCUUCGUAAGGGAACUCCUGCCCUCUGGAAAGAACCGUGUCAUUAAGGAAUUUCCCAGCUGGGCAUCAGCUUCCCUUUUACUUUAUUGCUAGAGCCCCUCCUCCUCCCAUCCUUUUGUUUGCCCCUACCCUUGGUCUCUCCCUCCCUGUGGAUUCCCCACUCCCCCCUAUCAGCUGGGCACAGA